Molecule: long non-coding RNA, 331 nt
Organism: Uranotaenia lowii
Lineage: Eukaryota; Metazoa; Arthropoda; Insecta; Diptera; Culicidae
Exons: 3
Source: RefSeq, a predicted model, not a curated record
AAAUUUCUCGCAUUAAAAAGUUGGGGACCGGUUGUAAACUUUAAGGAUGUGUGUUUUGCCGGUUCAUUUACUUCGAGACGUCUGAAUGAAAAAGUAUUCACGGAUUUCAAAACAACCGGAAGAAAGUCUUGUGAACAUGCAGUGGUCAUUCAAAGGACAAACCUGGAGGGUAUGGAACCUCAACAAUAAGUGGAUCUGGAUUGGAUCUGAUGCAAUAAACCUUCCAUUGUGAAAUCGGGGAUCGAUGAUUCGUGAAAUCUGUGAUCGGAAAGCUGUUUUCAGAAUGCAAAUAAUACUUCACACCAACUUGAUUCCGAUAUUUCCAGCGAAA